AGAGUUUGAUCAUGGCUCAGGAUGAACGCUGGCGGCGUGCUUAACACAUGCAAGUCGAACGAAGCAUUUAAGAUGGAUUCUUUCGGGAUGAAGACUUUUAUGACUGAGUGGCGGACGGGUGAGUAACGCGUGGGUAACCUGCCUCACACAGGGGGAUAGCAGUUGGAAACGGCUGAUAAUACCGCAUAAGCGCACAGUACCGCAUGGUACAGUGUGAAAAACUCCGGUGGUGUGAGAUGGACCCGCGUCUGAUUAGCUUGUUGGCAGGGUAACGGCCUACCAAGGCAACGAUCAGUAGCCGACCUGAGAGGGUGACCGGCCACAUUGGGACUGAGACACGGCCCAGACUCCUACGGGAGGCAGCAGUGGGGAAUAUUGCACAAUGGAGGAAACUCUGAUGCAGCGACGCCGCGUGAGUGAAGAAGUAAUUCGUUAUGUAAAGCUCUAUCAGCAGGGAAGAUAGUGACGGUACCUGACUAAGAAGCUCCGGCUAAAUACGUGCCAGCCGCCGCGGUAAUUC
This 520-nucleotide ribosomal RNA is filed under the name uncultured bacterium. RNAcentral's name for it is "bacterial SSU rRNA". It matches the Rfam family "Bacterial small subunit ribosomal RNA", at positions 8 to 526 of the family's 1533-position model. The record is from RNAcentral.